CUACUUGAUCUCACGUCUCAGAGUAUUAUACCUAUUUAUGAACUCCUUCUAGUAAUGAAGGAGUUAACAAAAGUUACCAUUAAAGAGCAGUAAAUUGGCCCAGCUGUAGGAGAUAAAGAGUCAGGAAGAGGUGAGUCAAGUUUUUCUUUGAGAAAUGUGGUUGGAAAGAACAGAAGUAUUCUGAGCUGAGUUCAGGAAAAAACAGAGAAACUUUUGGAUGUGGAAGGAAGGACAGUCAUAGGCUGCAGGGAUUAAUGUUUGGUAUUACCAUAGUAGAAAACUGGUCUACUGAUCUCACUAGUGCUACUAUCCUGUCACUGACAACGGGAGCACAUGUGCAGUGAUUGUGAGAGCAAGCCCAGAUGGUGGCUGGAGCCAGGUAGCUCAGAAGAGUUAAUCUGGAAGCAGGUCGAGGAGAUCAUUGACCCUCCAAGAGCAUUUUUGUUCUUUGAGUCCUGGAAAUGGAUUUGGCAUGUUGCCCACCUUGUGGAUUACAUUGUUAACAAACUAAUCGGGGUUCUGAAUAUGUUUCAUGCCUUCUUUGAGAAAAGAAACCAGAGGCAGGGAAUAAUACACAUAGUGUAAAGAAUGAAAUGGGAAACCCUGUUCAACUUAGCUCCCAUUGCCAUCACGCCAGUUUUUGAAUCUCAGAACCUGGCCCUCCA
RNAcentral lists this long non-coding RNA (665 nucleotides) under Anas platyrhynchos platyrhynchos (common mallard). RNAcentral's name for it is "lncRNA (ENSAPLG00000030884.1)". Lineage: Eukaryota; Metazoa; Chordata; Aves; Anseriformes; Anatidae. The record is from RNAcentral.